GGGAAGGGCGCUUGUGGACGUCACGGGAGGGAGUCGCCCAUGCAGAUGAGGCAGCGCAGGGGCUGCUGGUUGGGUCCCUGGUGUUGAAACGCGAUGGCUUUCCCGUUCGGGAGAGGGAGCAUGAGACAGCUGGUGGUGGGCGAAUGCCUCUGCUGCGUGGACGAGCUAGGAGGUUCCGAGAGUGCGCGCAGAUUUUGAAGGUUUUUUUGAGAACGGUUUUUGUUCUGCAAAGAUCUUCAUGGAAGGAUCUCUGAGCGUGGGGAAAGAGAAAGAACUUA
RNAcentral lists this long non-coding RNA (278 nucleotides) under Heterocephalus glaber (naked mole-rat). RNAcentral describes it as "lncRNA (ENSHGLG00000045063.1)". The record is from RNAcentral. Lineage: Eukaryota; Metazoa; Chordata; Mammalia; Rodentia; Bathyergidae.